AAAAAGACAAACCCUAGGUUUCCGUGUCCAACUUUAACUGUCCGUCUUAUAUAAAUUUUUUUUAUAAUUCGUAUUUUCAUUGUUGUUAGAUGAUAAAAAUAUGAUUAAUAUUUUAUGUGUGACUUGUCUUUUUAAUUUUUUUUCAUAAUUUUUUCAAAUAAGACGGACGGUCAAACGUUGGACACGGAAACCAGGGUUUGUCUUUUU
This 207-nucleotide microRNA precursor is filed under the name Oryza sativa Japonica Group (Japanese rice). Its description in RNAcentral is "MIR812 microRNA precursor family". It matches the Rfam family "MIR812 microRNA precursor family". Lineage: Eukaryota; Viridiplantae; Streptophyta; Magnoliopsida; Poales; Poaceae. The record is from Rfam by way of RNAcentral.